Molecule: transfer RNA, 77 nt
Filed under: Prolixibacteraceae bacterium
Lineage: Bacteria; Pseudomonadati; Bacteroidota; Bacteroidia; Marinilabiliales; Prolixibacteraceae
Description: tRNA-Ala
Rfam family: tRNA
About the family: Transfer RNA (tRNA) molecules are approximately 80 nucleotides in length. Their secondary structure includes four short double-helical elements and three loops (D, anti-codon, and T loops).
Source: RNAcentral
GGGGAUAUAGCUCAGUUGGCUAGAGCGCUACAUUCGCAUUGUAGAGGUCGGGGGUUCGACUCCCCUUAUCUCCACCA